GGCGAGGGGAGUGAAAAAGAACCUGAAACCGUGUACGUACAAGCAGUGGGAGCACGCUUAGGCGUGUGACUGCGUACCUUUUGUAUAAUGGGUCAGCGACUUAUAUUCUGUAGCAAGGUUAACCGAAUAGGGGAGCCGAAGGGAAACCGAGUCUUAACUGGGCGUUAAGUUGCAGGGUAUAGACCCGAAACCCGGUGAUCUAGCCAUGGGCAGGUUGAAGGUUGGGUAACACUAACUGGAGGACCGAACCGACUAAUGUUGAAAAAUUAGCGGAUGACUUGUGGCUGGGGGUGAAAGGCCAAUCAAACCGGGAGAUAGCUGGUUCUCCCCGAAAGCUAUUUAGGUAGCGCCUCGUGAAUUCAUCUCCGGGGGUAGAGCACUGUUUCGGCAAGGGGGUCAUCCCGACUUACCAACCCGAUGCAAACUGCGAAUACCGGAGAAUGUUAUCACGGGAGACACACGGCGGGUGCUAACGUCCGUCGUGAAGAGGGAAACAACCCAGACCGCCAGCUAAGGUCCCAAAGUCAUGGUUAAGUGGGAAACGAUGUGGGAAGGCCCAGACAGCCAGGAUGUUGGCUUAGAAGCAGCCAUCAUUUAAAGAAAGCGUAAUAGCUCACUGGUCGAGUCGGCCUGCGCGGAAGAUGUAACGGGGCUAAACCAUGCACCGAAGCUGCGGCAGCGACGCUUAUGCGUUGUUGGGUAGGGGAGCGUUCUGUAAGCCUGCGAAGGUGUGCUGUGAGGCAUGCUGGAGGUAUCAGAAGUGCGAAUGCUGACAUAAGUAACGAUAAAGCGGGUGAAAAGCCCGCUCGCCGGAAGACCAAGGGUUCCUGUCCAACGUUAAUCGGGGCAGGGUGAGUCGACCCCUAAGGCGAGGCCGAAAGGCGUAGUCGAUGGGAAACAGGUUAAUAUUCCUGUACUUGGUGUUACUGCGAAGGGGGGACGGAGAAGGCUAUGUUGGCCGGGCGACGGUUGUCCCGGUUUAAGCGUGUAGGCUGGUUUUCCAGGCAAAUCCGGAAAAUCAAGGCUGAGGCGUGAUGACGAGGCACUACGGUGCUGAAGCAACAAAUGCCCUGCUUCCAGGAAAAGCCUCUAAGCAUCAGGUAACAUCAAAUCGUACCCCAAACCGACACAGGUGGUCAGGUAGAGAAUACCAAGGCGCUUGAGAGAACUCGGGUGAAGGAACUAGGCAAAAUGGUGCCGUAACU
Molecule: ribosomal RNA, 1205 nt
Filed under: Escherichia coli
Lineage: Bacteria; Pseudomonadati; Pseudomonadota; Gammaproteobacteria; Enterobacterales; Enterobacteriaceae
Description: partial 23S ribosomal RNA
Rfam family: Bacterial large subunit ribosomal RNA
Source: RNAcentral